This is a long non-coding RNA of Papaver somniferum (opium poppy), 702 nucleotides long. RefSeq lists it as uncharacterized. The record is from RefSeq and is a predicted model, not a curated record. The transcript has 2 exons. NCBI's taxonomy places the organism in Eukaryota, Viridiplantae, Streptophyta, Magnoliopsida, Ranunculales, Papaveraceae.
UUCAUAAAAAUAGAGAGAGAAUGGGUUCCAGCUAUCGUUCAUCGUUUCGUUGUCUCCUCCGUCCAACUUCUCUGCAACAAAAUCCCUAGUUUCCAAUGGCACCAUGUCAUCAUCAGUUUUGGCAUUACCAAUUAGAAACCAGUGAAGUCGCAUCAUAUUUUGUUACUAUCAAUUUGGUUAGAUCGCCGUGCGGAUCUUCACAGGGGAAAGCAAAAAAAAAAAGCCCUAAUUUCUUAAAUUUUCUCCAUCAAAAUCUCAAUAAUUCAGUGAUACAAACCUAUAUUGUUUCUGCUGCUACAUCCGUAUUCAGUAUUUAUUAUCAUCAUCGUCGUAUUCACACUUGGAAUUGGGUUGGGAAAAUGUUCUCUCUUAAUCAAUGUAGGUUUGAAAUUUCUUCGAUAACCCCUAUGUAAACAAGAGGUACCAGUGAAGAGGUAAUGAAGGAUUUGGGAAGAAACCCAUUUCACCCAACAGUAGAGAGCCAUAUGCUUGUGGGAAGUUUUAAUGGCGGAUACAUUUCUCGAUGGGGAAGAACAGAGUUCUGGGAGAGGAAAUGUGAAUCGUUUCUGAUUCAAAGAUCAAACCGUAAUACUAUUAUGACAUGUGUCUCGUUUUUAAUUUGUUUAAAGGGUAAUUUUGGGUUUUCAACAUUAAAUAUUUAUUAUUUCAUGCACCUGCAUUGCACGUGCAAAUUUAACAGCA